GAAUUAGCAAGCACUCAUACAUUUCACUCUGUCUCAUGGGAUCUGAAAGCAAAACUGUUUGCGUGACCGGUGCCUCCGGGUUCAUCGGCUCGUGGCUCGUUAUGAGACUACUCGAGCGUGGUUACACAGUUCGAGCCACUGUGCGCGACCCUGGUAAUGCAAAGAAGGUGCAACAUUUGGAGGAACUACCCAAAGCUAAGACCCACCUCACUCUAUGGAAAGCUGAUCUCUCCGUGGAGGGUAGCUUUGACGAAGCAAUCCAACGCUGCACCGGUGUUUUCCACGUUGCCACCCCAAUGGAUUUUGAGUCCACCGACCCUGAGAAUGAAGUGAUAAGGCCAACAAUAAAUGGUGUAUUAGACAUCCUGAAAUCAUGUGUGAAGGCAGAAACUGUUAGAAGGGUAGUUUUUACCUCAUCUGCUGGAACUGUUGAUGUUCAAGAAACACCAAAAGCAAUGUAUGAUGAAACUUGCUGGAGUGAUUUGGACUUUAUCCUGGCCAAAAAGAUGACUGGAUGGAUGUACUUCGUAUCCAAGACUCUAGCAGAGAAAGAAGCAUGGAAAUUUGCUAAAGAAAAUAAAAUUGAUUUUAUUAGUAUCAUACCACCACUUGUGGUUGGUCCAUUUCUGAUGGCAUCAAUGCCACCCAGCCUCAUAACAGCACUUUCUCCAAUCACUGGUACAGAAUCGCAUUACCACAUUAUAAAGCAAGGCCAAUUCAUUCACUUAGAUGAUCUCUGCUUGGCUCAUAUAUAUUUGUUCGAGAAUCCUAAAGCACAAGGACGGUACAUAUGCUCCUCAGAUGAAGCCACCAUUUAUGAACUUGCGAAAUUGCUCAGAGAAAAAUACCCAGAAUAUAAUGUUCCUUCAAAGUUCAAGGGCAUUGACGAGAACUUGCAGAAAAUAGUUUUCUCAUCGAAAAAGCUGACGGACUUGGGAUUUGAAUUCAAAUACAGCUUGGAGGAUAUGUUUACUGGAGCUAUAGAAACAUGCAGAGCAAAGGGAUUAAUUCCUGUUUCUUAUGAGCCUUCUGUUUCUCGUUAGAAGACAAUUUCUGCUCCGUCUGUUUCUGUUUAUGUUUGAAAAUAAUGAGUUUCUCUGGGAGGACUCCAUUAUCACUUAUUAUUUUAUUUGUCUUCGCCGUGUAGAAAUGAAGUUCGCUGUGUGCGUCUAUUCAAAAAUCAAAAUCAUUACAAGCUGAUAAAGAGGAUUUUUACAUAUCUAACAAUGGGAUGGGCCCUUUGAUUUCCUUUGAAAAAAGAAAAAAAA
RNAcentral lists this unclassified non-coding RNA (1268 nucleotides) under Hevea brasiliensis (rubber tree). The record is from RNAcentral. Lineage: Eukaryota; Viridiplantae; Streptophyta; Magnoliopsida; Malpighiales; Euphorbiaceae.